Molecule: long non-coding RNA, 929 nt
Organism: Stegastes partitus (bicolor damselfish)
Lineage: Eukaryota; Metazoa; Chordata; Actinopteri; Pomacentridae
Exons: 3
Source: RefSeq, a predicted model, not a curated record
GUUUUUUAAGUAUUCAACAAGAGAGCUCUCUCUCCCGUCCCUGUCUCGGACACUCCACUGAAACUCCCCGGCCAUGUCUCCAGCUCUUUGAAAAGGUGAAACCAAUAAGAUUAAAUCGGACAAAGAUUUUUUUUCUGUAAGUGUAUCAUUAAGAUUUAACUCCACAGAUUGGAAAAAAGGGGCUCCGCAGGAGAAGAGGAGAGGAGAGUGAGAGUGAGAGGGACAGCGAAUAGGAGCAGGGUAGAGGCUCUAAUAGAAAUCUGGGGAAACGCCGAGAGAAAAAGGAGAAAGUGGACGGCAGGGCAUUAAAAGAAGAAGCACCGGCGACUGCGGUUUGCAGUGGAGGAGCAGCUUUGUACCUGGAUGAAAAACCCCGCCGUCGAUGAGGCAGAGAGCGACAUGGCGGCCUGGCGUUCGGAAACACACUGGGACAUGUCGGUGUGGUGCAAGGACUGACACAGGGACGAGAUGUGAUUUAUGGCGAGUGCCGUUUGAUUAAUGCUACCACCUGUGUCUUUAGAAGGAAAAGAAAAAGGGGGGGAGCUAUUGGCAGUCCUCCUCUGGAAGCUGGUUAAGGUAAGUGGCACCCCCUAUUACAAUGACACGGCAAAUAAUGCUUGUGGUUGUUGUUUCUGUAUGAACUUUUUUUUUUGGUGUGUGUGGCUUAAAUGGAAUGUACCUGGCGUCCUAAGCAUCACCGCCCUCCAUCAGAGCUCCGGCUAAGAGUCACUGCUGUAAAAACACACGCAGUCACCAUCGAUGAACGUCAGCAGAGCAGCCACAGUGUCGCAAAGGAGCCUGGAGACCAACAAAGCCGGCUGAUACAGUAACAUGGAUCAUGCUCUUGAACUUGCUUCUAUAAUGAUGUAAGAUUACUAAAAGGCAAUGCAACACAGCAAAAGAUCCUAAUAAAAACACAUCAAUCUCGA